UAUAUUUAUAUAUAAAAUUGAGGAUAUAUAUUGGCCUUUGUUAGGAAAAAUUAAUGGAUCGGUAAUAUAAUUUAGUUGAAAAUGUGAAGCAAUUAAGCUUUGAACAUGGGACCUCGGGUAUCAAUCGCUAAGUUCUUUGUCACUUGCGCUAGAGACGGUCGGUGCUCUUGCUCAUGUUAGCAUACAUAGUGGUGUUACUACAACAGAAUUAGAUUACAGCAAUGCAUGUUUAGAACACUUUUGUGUAAAUGUCCUAUUUAUACUAAAACUUCAAAAAAAAUCUACUAAUACUUAAAUAUAAAGCCCAAUCCAACCAAAAAUAAAAGGUUACUCUACUCAAUCCAUCCCACCCAGCCUAUUCAACCCGAUUACAAACAGAAAAGAAAAAAAGGGAAAAAUCAAUUGACAUCUCCUUUUCUCCCCUCACUCAAUCUAUUGAAAUCCUAGACGAAGACCCCUUCUCUCUCCUUCUCCUCUGCCACCGCAGCCAACGAGGUAGAGUUCCGGCCGUUGCUAAAUGCUUAAAUAAGUGUUAGUAAAUUAGCAGCACUCUUUUUAUGUUAUAGCAACACUCUUUAACUGUCACUAUAUACUUAGCGACCCCACAUAUAGCAACACUUUUUAAAAGUAAUAGUAAUUUAGGCAGCAGCACUUUUUUCGACCUGUAGCUACAUUUAAAAGUACCGCUAUAGACCGUUUUUGUUGUAGUGUGUAGAAUUUACAUUAAUUUAUGAAUUUUACUAACACAUUAACAACUUAAA
Molecule: long non-coding RNA, 761 nt
Filed under: Ananas comosus (pineapple)
Lineage: Eukaryota; Viridiplantae; Streptophyta; Magnoliopsida; Poales; Bromeliaceae
Description: long non-coding RNA (ACOM_LNC028506)
Source: RNAcentral